AUUGAACGCUGGCGGCAUGCCUAACACAUGCAAGUCGAACGGUAACAGGAAGACGCUUGCUGCUGUGCUGCGGAGUGGCGGGCAAGAGAGUGAUAUCUGGGAAACUGCGUGGGGGAGGGGGAUGAAUACUGGAAACGGUAGCUAAUACCGCAUAGUGUCGCAAGGCGAGAGAGGGGGACCUUCGGGCCUCUUGCCAUCGGAUGGGCCCAGAUGGGAUUAGCUAGUAGGUGGGGUAACGGCUCACCUAGGCGACGAUCCCUAGCUGGUCUGAGAGGAUGAACAGCCACACUGGAACUGAGACACGGUCCAGACUCCUACGGGAGGCAGCAGUGGGGAAUAUUGCACAAAGGGCGCAAGCCUGAUGCAGCCAUGCCGCGUGUAUGAAGAAGGCCUUCGGGUUGUAAAGUACUUUUAGCCGGGAGGAAGGGAGUCAAGUUAAUACCUUUGCUUAUUGACGUUACCCGAAGAAGAAGCACCGGCUAACUACGUG
This 490-nucleotide ribosomal RNA is filed under the name uncultured bacterium. RNAcentral describes it as "partial 16S ribosomal RNA". It matches the Rfam family "Bacterial small subunit ribosomal RNA", at positions 30 to 507 of the family's 1533-position model. The record is from RNAcentral.